RNAcentral lists this ribosomal RNA (271 nucleotides) under uncultured bacterium. Its description in RNAcentral is "partial 16S ribosomal RNA". It matches the Rfam family "Bacterial small subunit ribosomal RNA", at positions 524 to 793 of the family's 1533-position model. The record is from RNAcentral.
UACGGAGGGGGCUAGCGUUGUUCGGAAUUACUGGGCGUAAAGCGCACGUAGGCGGCUUUGCAAGUUAGAGGUGAAAGCCCGGGGCUCAACUCCGGAAUUGCCUUUAAAGUACUGCAUCGCUAGAAUUGUGGAGAGGUAAGUGGAAUUCCGAGUGUAGAGGUGAAAUUCGUAGAUAUUCGGAAGAACACCAGUGGCGAAGGCGACUUACUGGACACAUAUUGACGCUGAGGUGCGAAAGCGUGGGGAGCAAACAGGAUUAGAUACCCGUGAG